RNAcentral lists this unclassified non-coding RNA (232 nucleotides) under Hevea brasiliensis (rubber tree). The record is from RNAcentral. Lineage: Eukaryota; Viridiplantae; Streptophyta; Magnoliopsida; Malpighiales; Euphorbiaceae.
AGAUUAUGACAACCUAAGAAGAUACUAUCAAGCAACAAACCCAAUUUUCACAGCCAAAUACCAACAAUUGCACUGGAAGCGCACACAUAGGCACAAAUUGACUCAAGUUUUGGUUUCGCAUGCAAAUGAAGGGAUUUUAAGCUGAAAUUUACCAGAUAUUUUCUAUAAUAUGAAGGUAGAAUUCAGGUAAAAUUUGGUCAAAUUCUGGGUUGGUUUGAUGGGUGAACUAAAA